UACGUAGGUGGCGAGCGUUGUCCGGAAUUACUGGGUGUAAAGGGCGUGUAGGCGGGAAGGUAAGUCAGAUGUGAAAUACCGGGGCUCAACCCCGGGGCUGCAUUUGAAACUAUCUUUCUUGAGUGCAGGAGAGGAAAGUGGAAUUCCUAGUGUAGCGGUGAAAUGCGUAGAUAUUAGGAGGAACACCAGUGGCGAAGGCGACUUUCUGGACUGUAACUGACGCUGAGGCGCGAAAGCGUGGGGAGUGAACAGG
This 253-nucleotide ribosomal RNA is filed under the name uncultured bacterium. Its description in RNAcentral is "partial 16S ribosomal RNA". It matches the Rfam family "Bacterial small subunit ribosomal RNA", at positions 524 to 776 of the family's 1533-position model. The record is from RNAcentral.